UGUGGAAGCGGUGUCGCUCAACGGAUAAAAGGUACCCCGGGGAUAACAGGCUGAUCUUCCCCAAGAGUCCAUAUCGACGGGAUGGUUUGGCACCUCGAUGUCGGCUCGUCGCAUCCUGGGGCUGGAGUCGGUCCCAAGGGUUGGGCUGUUCGCCCAUUAAAGCGGCACGCGAGCUGGGUUUAGAACGUCGUGAGACAGUUCGGUCCCUAUCCGCCGCGCGCGUAGGAGUCUUGAGAAAGGCUGUCCCUAGUACGAGAGGACCGGGACGGACGAACCUCUGGUGUGCCAGUUGUUCCACCAGGAGCACGGCUGGUUGGCUACGUUCGGAAGGGAUAACCGCUGAAAGCAUCUAAGCGGGAAGCUCGUUUCGAGAUGAGGACUCCCACCCUUUGUGGGGUAAGGCCCCCGGCUAGACCACCGGGUUGAUAGGCCGGAAGUGGAAGCACGGCAACGUGUGCAGCUGACCGGUACUAAUAGGCCGAGGACUUACCACA
Molecule: ribosomal RNA, 494 nt
Filed under: Actinomycetota bacterium
Lineage: Bacteria; Bacillati; Actinomycetota
Description: partial 23S ribosomal RNA
Rfam family: Bacterial large subunit ribosomal RNA
Source: RNAcentral